AUACGUAGGGUGCGAGCGUUAAUCGGAAUUACUGGGCGUAAAGCGUGCGCAGGUGGUUUUGUAAGUCAGAUGUGAAAUCCCCGGGCUUAACCUGGGAACUGCGUUUGAAACUGCAAGGCUAGAGUGUGGCAGAGGGGGGUGGAAUUCCGCGUGUAGCAGUGAAAUGCGUAGAGAUGUGGAGGAACACCGAUGGCGAAGGCAGCCCCCUGGGUCAACACUGACGCUCAGGCACGAAAGCGUGGGGAGCAAACAGGAUUAGAUACCCCUGUAGUCC
RNAcentral lists this ribosomal RNA (274 nucleotides) under uncultured bacterium. RNAcentral's name for it is "partial 16S ribosomal RNA". It matches the Rfam family "Bacterial small subunit ribosomal RNA", at positions 523 to 796 of the family's 1533-position model. The record is from RNAcentral.